CAGUCGCCGCGGUAAAACGUAGGUGGCAAGCGUUGUCCGGAAUUAUUGGGCGUAAAGGGCUCGCAGGCGGUUUCUUAAGUCUGAUGUGAAAGCCCCCGGCUCAACCGGGGAGGGUCAUUAGAAACUGGGAAACUUGAGUGCAGAAGAGGAGAGUGGAAUUCCACGUGUAGCGGUGAAAUGCGUAAAGAUGUGGAGGAACACCAGUGGCGAAGGCGACUCUCUGGUCUGUAACUGACGCUGAGGAGCGAAAGCGUGGGGAGCGAACAGGAUUAGAUACCCCCGUAGUCCCUGUCUCUUAUAA
RNAcentral lists this ribosomal RNA (301 nucleotides) under uncultured bacterium. Its description in RNAcentral is "partial 16S ribosomal RNA". It matches the Rfam family "Bacterial small subunit ribosomal RNA", at positions 509 to 809 of the family's 1533-position model. The record is from RNAcentral.